This 23-nucleotide small nuclear RNA is filed under the name Arabidopsis thaliana (thale cress). Its description in RNAcentral is "snRNA_02772". The record is from RNAcentral. Lineage: Eukaryota; Viridiplantae; Streptophyta; Magnoliopsida; Brassicales; Brassicaceae.
ACAAUUCAUCAUCCAUGAUCGGA